AUUCAAGUCACAUAAAAAUAACAAUUCUUUCCCUUGAUUUGAAUUUUCUCCAUCAUCAAUAAAAUAAUCACAAAAAAUACUUUUUCUUGCCAUAUGCUCUCAAAAGGGACUGCUGAGCACUACAAAUAUUAACCAAGUCUAGGUAAUGCCUGAACUUGCUGACUGGAACUCCUUGGAUUAUCAUAUUUGCUGGAUUAUCAUGUGUAGAGAUUUUUUGUACAACUAUAAUUCCUUGAGAUAUAAUGUCCCAAAUGAAGUGAUAUCUCAUAUCAAUGUGUUUAGUUCGCUUAUGGUACAUUUGAUUCUUUAUGAGAUGUAUUGCACUUUAACUGUCACAAAAUACUGUUGGCUUGUUUUGUAUCAAUCCAAGAUCACCUACUAAACCUUGUAUUCAUAAAGCUUCCUUUACUGCCUCUACUAAAACUAUAUAUUUGGCCUCUGCGGUAGACAAAGCAAAUGUAGCUUUCAUUGUUGUCUUCCAACUAAUAGCACUUCUAGAGAGAGUAAACAAAUAACCUAUCAGAGAUCUCCUUUUAUCUAAGUCCCUUGCAAAAUCUGAA
This 560-nucleotide unclassified non-coding RNA is filed under the name Hevea brasiliensis (rubber tree). Lineage: Eukaryota; Viridiplantae; Streptophyta; Magnoliopsida; Malpighiales; Euphorbiaceae. The record is from RNAcentral.